CAAUCACAAUCUUUGGUUUGUUUAGAAAGUGCCCCAUCAGUCUUCGAAAAUCCAAUCAAGAAACAGGUGUUGCUGUUUGCAACUUCAAAUGAUUCAGAGAAGUUAAUCUCAGUAUUUCAAGAAGCAGCAAAACCUUUUAAGGAAAAAGGAAGUGUGCAGAGUGUGAUACUUCUCUUCUUGACAUCCAUUAGUCAACACAUCUAGUUUGUGAUAUCUUCUUAGUAAGGUACCUUAAACUCAAUUAUAUUUAUGUAGUUUAUUUAUCUAGUUGAAGAAAUGAGAUGAAUUUUAUUUAUGUAGUUGAUGAAAUAAGAUGACUUAUAUUUGGAUCUUCUACCUACUUA
Molecule: non-coding RNA, 344 nt
Organism: Cajanus cajan (pigeon pea)
Lineage: Eukaryota; Viridiplantae; Streptophyta; Magnoliopsida; Fabales; Fabaceae
Source: RefSeq, a predicted model, not a curated record